GUCUGCAGCCAUACCACCCUGAAUGCACCUGAGCUUAUCUGAUCUCAGAAGCUAAGCAAGGUCUGGCCUGGUUAGCACUUGAACGGGAGACCAUCUAUAAAACAACAUACCUCACAAC
RNAcentral lists this ribosomal RNA (118 nucleotides) under Chinchilla lanigera (long-tailed chinchilla). The record is from RNAcentral. Lineage: Eukaryota; Metazoa; Chordata; Mammalia; Rodentia; Chinchillidae.